This 306-nucleotide unclassified non-coding RNA is filed under the name plant metagenome. Its description in RNAcentral is "partial contains 5.8S ribosomal RNA, internal transcribed spacer 2, and large subunit ribosomal RNA". The stretch from base 1 to 104 matches the Rfam family "5.8S ribosomal RNA", at positions 51 to 154 of the family's 154-position model. The record is from RNAcentral.
AAAUGCGAUAAGUAAUGUGAAUUGCAGAAUUCAGUGAAUCAUCGAAUCUUUGAACGCACAUUGCGCCCGCCAGCACUCUGGCGGGCAUGCCUGUUCGAGCGUCAUUUCAACCCUCAGAACCCCUUGCGGGAUCUGGCGUUGGGGAUUGGCAUCCAGCCAGCCCCGAAAUCUAGUGGCGGUCCCUCCGCGACCUCCCCUGUGCAGUAGCGAUACCUCGCAGCGGGACAGCGGUCUGACCACGCCGUAAAACCCCCAACUUCCCAAGGUUGACCUCGAAUCAGGUAGGAAUACCCGCUGAACUUAAGC